UACGUAGGGGGCGAGCGUUGUCCGGAUUUACUGGGCGUAAAGAGCGCGUAGGCGGAAGUUUAAGCGUGGCCUGAAAGCCCCCGGCUCAACCGGGGAGUGCGGCUGCGAACUGGAUUUCUUGAGGACGAUAGAGGAGAGUGGAAUUCCUGGUGUAGCGGUGAAAUGCGUAGAUAUCAGGAGGAACACCCGAGGCGAAGGCGGCUCUCUGGGUCGUACCUGACGCUGAGGCGCGAAAGCGUGGGGAGCGAACAGG
Molecule: ribosomal RNA, 253 nt
Filed under: uncultured bacterium
Lineage: Bacteria
Description: partial 16S ribosomal RNA
Rfam family: Bacterial small subunit ribosomal RNA
Source: RNAcentral